RNAcentral lists this ribosomal RNA (368 nucleotides) under uncultured bacterium. Its description in RNAcentral is "bacterial SSU rRNA". It matches the Rfam family "Bacterial small subunit ribosomal RNA", at positions 527 to 896 of the family's 1533-position model. The record is from RNAcentral.
GUAAGGGGCAAGCGUUGUCCGGAAUCACUGGGCGUAAAGCGCACGUAGGCGGCUUGGCAAGUCAGGGGUGCAAGCUCUAGGCUUUAACCUAGAAACUGCCUCUGAAACUACCUCGCUUGAGGGUCUGAGGGGAAACUGGAAUUCACGGUGUAGCGGUGAAAUGCGUAGAUAUCGUGGAGAACACCCGUGGCGAAGGCGGGUUUCUGGCAGACUUCUGACGCUGAGGUGCGAAAGCUAGGGGAGCGAACGGGAUUAGAUACCCCGGUAGUCCUAGCCGUAAACGAUGGGUACUAGGUGUGGGGAUUAACAUCUCCGUGCCGACGCCAACGCAUUAAGUACCCCGCCUGGGGACUACGGCCGCAAGGUUA